Molecule: ribosomal RNA, 386 nt
Filed under: uncultured bacterium
Lineage: Bacteria
Description: bacterial SSU rRNA
Rfam family: Bacterial small subunit ribosomal RNA
Source: RNAcentral
AAUCAACGCUGGCGGCGUGCCUCAGACAUGCAAGUCGAACGCGAAAGUCCCCUUCGGGGGAUGAUUAGAGUGGCGCACGGGUGAGUAACACGUAGGUAAUCUACCUUCGAGUGGGGAAUAACUCAGGGAAACUUGAGCUAAUACCGCAUAAUGCAGCGGCACCACAUGGUGACAGUUGUUAAAGCAUUUAUGCGCUUGAAGAGGAGCCUGCGGCGGAUAGCUAGUUGGUAAGGUAAUGGCUUACCAAGGCUACGAUCUGUAACCGGCCUGAGAGGGCGGACGGUCACACUGACACUGAAUAACGGGUCAGACUCCUACGGGAGGCAGCAGUCGGGAAUUUUGGGCAAUGGGCGAAAGCCUGACCCAGCAACGCCGCGUGAAGGAUG